Long non-coding RNA from Notolabrus celidotus (New Zealand spotty), 471 nucleotides. RefSeq lists it as uncharacterized. The transcript has 3 exons. The record is from RefSeq and is a predicted model, not a curated record. NCBI's taxonomy places the organism in Eukaryota, Metazoa, Chordata, Actinopteri, Labriformes, Labridae.
GAUGAAGAUUUCCAUUUUGAAACGGCAUUAUAAGACGAAGCAUAGGAAUUUUGAAGAGACAUUUCUCAAAAUUCAGAGGUGUCCUCCAAACAAGUUCAGAUGCCUCAGAUUAACUCCUAGAGCAUCCAGCAUUUCAAGCAGGUAUCAGGAAGAGAGCGACUUCAUUGACAUCAGACUGGGUUGAACGCCUGAAUAAUCCUACUGACUUGAGAUGCCUGCACAGCAUUGACAUACUCGUAUAUGAACUCACUUCUGAGCAUGCAGUGUCUCAAACCGAAAAGGAAAUAGAAGCAGAUGAACUUUGGUAGUGCCAUCAUUGCCCUCUCUUCCAUCCCAACUCAUAAUUUCAAGAUCUGUACCUCAGUAUAAUCUCUUCUGCAGCUGUAAAUGUUCUGGCUUCACUCUCAGGGAGCUGUUUUGCCGAAGCAUCUUCCUCUACAGUCUACAGUCUGUCAAUAAAACAAAAACAAA